RNAcentral lists this transfer RNA (70 nucleotides) under Sipunculus nudus (marine worm). RNAcentral describes it as "tRNA-Lys". The record is from RNAcentral. Lineage: Eukaryota; Metazoa; Annelida; Sipuncula; Golfingiida; Sipunculidae.
UCCCCCGGAAGCUCAUACGAAGCACUAAGCUUUUAACUUAGUGGCAGGUAUGUUAUAUACCUCGAGGGAU